GAGAGAUUCCGUGUAACAUUUUUCGUGAUUGGCAACAGCUGUUUUGUAAUGGCCGCCGUGUGUAAGAAGUCAACAAUCAGACGGGAAUAGUUGAACGAGACGAAUUUAGGAGUUAAAUACCUCUGGGAAUGCAGAAUUUUGUUUUAAAAUGGACUGCAAAUUAUUAGAACGGUACCAGCGUGAUAAACACUUGAUGGCGAUCAAUACAAGUUGGUAAUUCUGAGGAACUUGAUUGCAGUAUGGUGAAUGUGUAUUGGCUCCCCUUUGGAUGGCACCAAUAAAUACCUAAUCACCUGAGUUUGUGCCGAAAACUUCUUGCAAGGGCUAGGCUAUGAUAGACAGGAAAUUACGGAAACAGCUGGGAGGCAUGUGAAACUGGUUAUUAAAGCCCACAAAUUUCACCACCAGAUAUUUCCACAACACUCAAAAUUGGACCUCCACCACCAGAAUUAAACAGCUGUCAUGUUGAAUCAGAUGAACUCUUAUUCAAUAGGAUAUCCUCCGUCAGAUUCAACUCAACAUCAAAAGAUUUAAAGAUACAAGAAGACUGGAUCUUUUCCUCUUGGGAUUUGACUUACCUUUCACGCACCUGUAUCAAGCCAGCAAGUCGACCGUCAGUCCAUAAUAACUUGGGUGAAAGCCGAACUGAAAACUGUUGCACUUCACAGUUAUUUGACACAGAUUUUCUUUGAUUUUGACUCUUGAUCCUUCCACUGUACGAAAUAUUGGAUUCAGUCGAACCUGAAUAAUAAAACACAAAUUUUAAAAGAAAA
Long non-coding RNA from Daphnia pulex (common water flea), 773 nucleotides. RefSeq lists it as uncharacterized. The record is from RefSeq and is a predicted model, not a curated record. NCBI's taxonomy places the organism in Eukaryota, Metazoa, Arthropoda, Branchiopoda, Diplostraca, Daphniidae. The transcript is spliced from 4 exons.